AGUGAACGCUGGCGGUAGGCCUAACACAUGCAAGUCGAACGGCAGCACAGUAAGAGCUUGCUCUUACGGGUGGCGAGUGGCGGACGGGUGAGGAAUACAUCGGAAUCUACUUUUUCGUGGGGGAUAACGUAGGGAAACUUACGCUAAUACCGCAUACGACCUACGGGUGAAAGCAGGGGAUCUUCGGACCUUGCGCGAUUGAAUGAGCCGAUGUCGGAUUAGCUAGUUGGCGGGGUAAAGGCCCACCAAGGCGACGAUCCGUAGCUGGUCUGAGAGGAUGAUCAGCCACACUGGAACUGAGACACGGUCCAGACUCCUACAGGAGGCAGCAGUGGGGAAUAUUGGACAAUGGGCGCAAGCCUGAUCCAGCCAUACCGCGUGAGUGAAGAAGGCCUUCGGGUUGGAAAGCCCUUUUGUUGGGAAAGAAAAGCAGCAGGUUAAUACCCCGCUGUUCUGACGGUACCCAAAGAAUAAGCACCGGCUAACUUCGUG
RNAcentral lists this ribosomal RNA (492 nucleotides) under uncultured bacterium. RNAcentral describes it as "partial 16S ribosomal RNA". It matches the Rfam family "Bacterial small subunit ribosomal RNA", at positions 29 to 507 of the family's 1533-position model. The record is from RNAcentral.